RNAcentral lists this ribosomal RNA (786 nucleotides) under Staphylococcus arlettae. Its description in RNAcentral is "bacterial SSU rRNA". It matches the Rfam family "Bacterial small subunit ribosomal RNA", at positions 50 to 820 of the family's 1533-position model. The record is from RNAcentral. Lineage: Bacteria; Bacillati; Bacillota; Bacilli; Caryophanales; Staphylococcaceae.
UAUAAUGCAGUCGAGCGAACAGAUAAGGAGCUUGCUCCUUUGACGUUAGCGGCGGACGGGUGAGUAACACGUGGGUAACCUACCUAUAAGACUGGAAUAACUCCGGGAAACCGGGGCUAAUGCCGGAUAACAUUUAGAACCGCAUGGUUCUAAAGUGAAAGAUGGUUUUGCUAUCACUUAUAGAUGGACCCGCGCCGUAUUAGCUAGUUGGUAAGGUAACGGCUUACCAAGGCAACGAUACGUAGCCGACCUGAGAGGGUGAUCGGCCACACUGGAACUGAGACACGGUCCAGACUCCUACGGGAGGCAGCAGUAGGGAAUCUUCCGCAAUGGGCGAAAGCCUGACGGAGCAACGCCGCGUGAGUGAUGAAGGGUUUCGGCUCGUAAAACUCUGUUAUUAGGGAAGAACAAACGUGUAAGUAACUGUGCACGUCUUGACGGUACCUAAUCAGAAAGCCACGGCUAACUACGUGCCAGCAGCCGCGGUAAUACGUAGGUGGCAAGCGUUAUCCGGAAUUAUUGGGCGUAAAGCGCGCGUAGGCGGUUUCUUAAGUCUGAUGUGAAAGCCCACGGCUCAACCGUGGAGGGUCAUUGGAAACUGGGAGACUUGAGUGCAGAAGAGGAAAGUGGAAUUCCAUGUGUAGCGGUGAAAUGCGCAGAGAUAUGGAGGAACACCAGUGGCGAAGGCGACUUUCUGGUCUGUAACUGACGCUGAUGUGCGAAAGCGUGGGGAUCAAACAGGAUUAGAUACCCUGGUAGUCCACGCCGUAAACGAUGAGUGCUAAG